UGAACGACUCUCGGCAACGGAUAUCUUGGCUCUCGCAUCGAUGAAGAACGUAGCGAAAUGCGAUACUUGGUGUGAAUUGCAGAAUCCCGUGAACCAUCGAGUCUUUGAACGCAAGUUGCGCCCGAGGCCUUUGGCCGAGGGCACGUCUGCCUGGGCGUCACGC
Molecule: ribosomal RNA, 163 nt
Filed under: Minuartia labillardierei
Lineage: Eukaryota; Viridiplantae; Streptophyta; Magnoliopsida; Caryophyllales; Caryophyllaceae
Description: 5.8S ribosomal RNA
Rfam family: 5.8S ribosomal RNA
About the family: 5.8S ribosomal RNA (5.8S rRNA) is a component of the large subunit of the eukaryotic ribosome. It is transcribed by RNA polymerase I as part of the 45S precursor that also contains 18S and 28S rRNA.
Source: RNAcentral